GAUGAACGCUGGCGGCGUGCCUAAUACAUGCAAGUCGAGCGAACGGACGAGAAGCUUGCUUCUCUGAUGUUAGCGGCGGACGGGUGAGUAACACGUGGAUAACCUACCUAUAAGACUGGGAUAACUUCGGGAAACCGGAGCUAAUACCGGAUAAUAUUUUGAACCGCAGGGUUCAAAAGUGAAAGACGGUCUUGCUGUCACUUAUAGAUGGAUCCGCGCUGCAUUAGCUAGUUGGUAAGGUAACGGCUUACCAAGGCGACGAUGCAUAGCCGACCUGCGAGGGUGAUCGGCCACGCGGGAGCUGAGAGACGGUCCAGGCGCCUACGGGAGGCAGCAGUAGGGACGCUUGCGGAAAGGGCGAAAGCCUGACGGAGCAACGCAGCGUGAGUGAUGAAGGUCUUCGGAUCGUAAAACGCUGUUAUUAGGGAAGAACAUAUGUGUAAGUGACUGUGCACAUGUGGACGGUACCGAAGCAGAAAGCCCGGCCUAAUUACGU
RNAcentral lists this ribosomal RNA (496 nucleotides) under uncultured bacterium. RNAcentral's name for it is "partial 16S ribosomal RNA". It matches the Rfam family "Bacterial small subunit ribosomal RNA", at positions 28 to 506 of the family's 1533-position model. The record is from RNAcentral.